This is an RNA transcript of Lotus japonicus, 1671 nucleotides long. It is a transcript of the gene named RNA pseudouridine synthase 7, with no coding region annotated. The record is from RefSeq and is a predicted model, not a curated record. Lineage: Eukaryota; Viridiplantae; Streptophyta; Magnoliopsida; Fabales; Fabaceae. The transcript is spliced from 13 exons.
UCCAAUUUGCAACUUGCACUCUGUACUGAAAAAGGCGCGGAGAGAUGAAGAGGAAGAGAGAAGCCAACAAGGAAGAAGCCAUGGAUAUCGUGUGGCAAACCCCAGCGAAUCCACCACUACCGCAAGAUUACAUAUUCCGAAACGGGUUUCGAUUUGUUAGACCUUACUACUUCGAAUUCAUUGCUCAUGUCAAAAAUCGUUGGGCUGGGAAAACCAUUGUUGAUUUGUUCGCUGAGGAGUUCAAAGGUCGACCUUAUGAAUAUUAUGUUAGUGCAGUGAAAUGCGGAAGGAUUCAAGUUGAUGGGGAGAUGGUACCGGUUUCAUACGUGGUUAAAUCAUCUCAAAAGAUAAGCCACUUUUUGCACAGGCAUGAACCACCUGUGAUGGCUGGCGGUGUUUCUAUUCUUCAAAACGAACCGGAUGUGCUAACUGUUUGUAAACCGGCAUCUGUCCCGGUGCAUCCAUGUGGUCAAUAUCGUAAGAACACUGUUGUUGGCAUCCUCCAAGCAGAGCAUGGAUUGGCACCUCUAUUUCCUAUUCAUCGACUGGAUCGCCUUGUCUCAGGACUUCUUAUUUUAGCCAGAAAUGCUACAAAAGCUGACAAUUUUAGGCAACAGAUUGAAGCUGGCUUAGUCCAGAAACAGUAUAUAGCGAAAGUCAUUGGAGAAUUUCCGAAGGAUGAGCUAAUUGUUGAUGCCAACAUAGACUAUAAUGCUCGAGAAGGAAGGAGCACAGCAGAGGCCAGAGAGUCUGCAAAGGGGAAGACUGCCUCUACAAAAUUUACUCGGAUUAGUACCAAUGGUACUCAAAGUAUUGUUUUAUGUGAACCAGUCACUGGCCGUACACAUCAGAUACGUGUUCAUUUACAGUAUUCGGGACAUCCAAUAGCCAAUGACAUGCUAUACAUUUCAGAGCAACCUAUUGACCGACAUAUUAAAGGCUCAGGUGCCGAUAGAUCAGCUCGUUUAUCUAAUGCUUCUCUAACAUCAAAUUUUGAUGAAGUGCUCAAUGAAUUUGAAGAAAAUUCCAACGGGGAUUUUGGUGUUGAUUCCAUGUGUACAAACUGUCCAAAUUUGGCACCCAAAGGGUAUGACGGCGAUGAAGAAGGUCUGUGGCUACAUUGUUAUCGGUACUCUGGACCGGGAUGGACGUAUGAAUGCCCGUAUCCUGAUUGGGCGAAGCUUAGCUAGACAACUUUCAUGGGACACUUCAAACAAAAAUAUUUACAACAGCACUUUAUCUGACCAUCAAACCUAAUGCCCAAUGGGAGUUUUUCGUGUGAGUUCUGCAGGGGAAGUUUCGUUUACUUAAGGGGUAGCUGGAACGUGCAAUGAAUACUGUUGUGAGUGGGGCACCCCCUAUGGAAUCUGAGGUCUACAAAGAACUCCAAUAUAUGCUGUCUAUAGUGGAGCAGAGCUUGCAUGGUGAUCUCGUUUACCGGAGAUCAACAAGGAGGGGUGGAUAGAUAUGCAGUCUAGCUCAAUGUCAUAGUCGUGAUUGUCAUGUUAUGUUUGGAUAGAUAUUAUGUAUUUUGUUAGGGCGCCCAUUUUGUUAGUUUGGAUAUGUUUUAAGUAUGUUAUGCUCUUCCGUUGGAUGUUGGAAAUGGAUAUUAUGUUAGUUUGUAACCAGAUAUUGAUCAGUUGGUUAUGUAUUGCUUAUUAUGUUGCCCAG